GUGUCAGCAGCCGCGGUAAUACGUAGGUGGCAAGCGUUGUCCGGAAUUACUGGGUGUAAAGGGCGUGUAGGCGGGGGAGCAAGUCAGAUGUGAAAUUCCUAGGCUUAACCUGGGCGCUGCAUCUGAAACUGUUUCUCUUGAGUGCUGGAGAGGAAAGUGGAAUUCCUAGUGUAGCGGUGAAAUGCGUAGAGAUUAGGAGGAACACCAGUGGCGAAGGCGGCUUUCUGGACAGUAACUGACGCUGAGGCGCGAAAGCGUGGGGAGCAAACAGGAUUAGAUACCCUGGUAGUCCACGCUGUAAACGAUGGAUACUAGGUGUGGGAGGUAUCGACCCCUUCCGUGCCGGAGUUAACACAAUAAGCACUCCGCCUGGGGAGUACGGCCGCAAGGCUAAAACUUAAAUAAAUUGACGG
This 413-nucleotide ribosomal RNA is filed under the name uncultured bacterium. Its description in RNAcentral is "bacterial SSU rRNA". It matches the Rfam family "Bacterial small subunit ribosomal RNA", at positions 505 to 916 of the family's 1533-position model. The record is from RNAcentral.